CAGUCGAGCGGAUGAGUGGAGCUUGCUCCAUGAUUCAGCGGCGGACGGGUGAGUAAUGCCUAGGAAUCUGCCUGRUAGUGGGGGACAACGUUUCGAAAGGAACGCUAAUACCGCAUACGUCCUACGGGAGAAAGCAGGGGACCUUCGGGCCUUGCGCUAUCAGAUGAGCCUAGGUCGGAUUAGCUGGUUGGUGAGGUAAUGGCUCACCAAGGCGACGAUCCGUAACUGGUCUGAGAGGAUGAUCAGUCACACUGGAACUGAGACACGGUCCAGACUCCUACGGGAGGCAGCAGUGGGGAAUAUUGGACAAUGGGCGAAAGCCUGAUCCAGCCAUGCCGCGUGUGUGAAGAAGGUCUUCGGAUUGUAAAGCACUUUAAGUUGGGAGGAAGGGCAGUAAGCUAAUACCUUGCUGUUUUGACGUUACCGACAGAAUAAGCACCGGCUAACUUCGUGCCAGCAGCCGCGGUAAUACA
Molecule: ribosomal RNA, 473 nt
Filed under: uncultured bacterium
Lineage: Bacteria
Description: bacterial SSU rRNA
Source: RNAcentral